Molecule: ribosomal RNA, 252 nt
Filed under: Clostridioides difficile
Lineage: Bacteria; Bacillati; Bacillota; Clostridia; Peptostreptococcales; Peptostreptococcaceae
Description: partial 23S ribosomal RNA
Rfam family: Bacterial large subunit ribosomal RNA
Source: RNAcentral
CCUGUCCUUAGUACGAGAGGACCGGGAUGGACGUACCUCUGGUGUACCAGUUGUCCUGCCAAGGGCAUGGCUGGGUAGCUAUGUACGGAAUGGAUAAGCGCUGAAAGCAUCUAAGCGCGAAGUCAACUUCAAGAUAAGAUUUCCCACCGCAAGGGUAAGACCCCAGAAAGACUAUCUGGUUGAUAGGUCGAAGGUGUAAGUGCAGCAAUGUAUUUAGCUUAUCGAUACUAAUAGGUCGAGGACUUGACCAAU